UGGCCAACAGGUGACAAUCUGCCCAAAUGCAUACCAGCGGGUCUCCUCCCCAAGUUGCUCCACAAGCAUAAAGUUUGGCUGGGGAAAAAAGCUUUUUUAAUUUCUGCAUCUGACAAUGUGAUCACUCCCUGGUAUUCCCCUCUUCAGAGAUAUGACCAUGGGUGUGGAUGAGAGCGGAGGAGCAUCUUCAUUCUGUCUUCCUAAUAUUUACACGGGAAAAGAAGAUGCCUGUAGAUAUUUUCUAACAGUUUCAUUUUCUGUCUUUGUGACCCUGUAUCUAUGACAGGAAAAGCCAACAGCUCGAGAUAACACGUCUCACCAUUUUUUGCUUGUGGCCCAAGGCAGAAUACAACAGCCACGGUUCCCUCAGGCCUAGCGGUUUC
RNAcentral lists this long non-coding RNA (383 nucleotides) under Homo sapiens (human). RNAcentral describes it as "HSALNT0227012". Lineage: Eukaryota; Metazoa; Chordata; Mammalia; Primates; Hominidae. The record is from RNAcentral.